RNAcentral lists this unclassified non-coding RNA (347 nucleotides) under soil metagenome. RNAcentral's name for it is "partial contains 5.8S ribosomal RNA, internal transcribed spacer 2, and large subunit ribosomal RNA". The stretch from base 1 to 120 matches the Rfam family "5.8S ribosomal RNA", at positions 35 to 154 of the family's 154-position model. The record is from RNAcentral.
GAUGAAGAACGUAGCGAAAUGCGAUAAGUAAUGUGAAUUGCAGAAUUCAGUGAAUCAUCGAGUCUUUGAACGCACAUUGCGCCCCCUGGUAUUCCGGGGGGCAUGCCUGUCCGAGCGUCAUUGCCGCCCUCAAGCACGGCUUGUGUGUUGGGCCCCCGCCCCCCGGCUUCGGGGGGCGGGCCCGAAAGGCAGCGGCGGCACCGCGUCCGGUCCUCGAGCGUAUGGGGCUUCGUCACCGCUCUGUAGGCCCGGCCGGCGCCCGCCGGCGACCCCAAUCAAUCUUUCCAGGUUGACCUCGGAUCAGGUAGGGAUACCCGCUGAACUUAAGCAUAUCAAUAAGCGGAGGA